AUACGGAGGAUGCAAGCGUUAUCCGGAUUUAUUGGGUUUAAAGGGUGCGUAGGCGGUUUGCUAAGCGGGAGGUGAAAUGCCGGCGCUCAACGUCGGAAGUGCCUCCCGAACUGGUGGACUUGAAUGACUUUGCCGUGGGAGGAAUGUGUAGUGUAGCGGUGAAAUGCUUAGGGAUGACACAGAACACCGAUUGCGAAGGCAUCUCUCGAAGGGGUGAUUGACGCUGAGGCACGAAAGCGUGGGGAUCAAACAGGAUUAGAUACCCUGGUAGUCCACGCUGUAAACGAUGAUGGCUAACCGCUGGGCUUAUCAGGUCAGUGGCCAAGCGAAAGCGAUAAGCCAUCCACCUGGGGAGUACGACCGCAAGGUUGAAACUCAAAUGAAUUGACGGGG
Molecule: ribosomal RNA, 393 nt
Filed under: uncultured bacterium
Lineage: Bacteria
Description: partial 16S ribosomal RNA
Rfam family: Bacterial small subunit ribosomal RNA
Source: RNAcentral